This 253-nucleotide ribosomal RNA is filed under the name uncultured bacterium. Its description in RNAcentral is "partial 16S ribosomal RNA". It matches the Rfam family "Bacterial small subunit ribosomal RNA", at positions 524 to 776 of the family's 1533-position model. The record is from RNAcentral.
UACGUAGGUCCCGAGCGUUGUCCGGAUUUAUUGGGCGUAAAGCGAGCGCAGGUGGGAAGCCAAGUCAGCUGUGAAAACUACGGGCUUAACUUGUAGACUGCAGUUGAAACUGGUUUUCUUGAGUGAAGUAGAGGUUGGCGGAAUUCCGAGUGUAGCGGUGAAAUGCGUAGAUAUUCGGAGGAACACCGGUGGCGAAGGCGGCCAACUGGGCUUUAACUGACGCUGAGGCUCGAAAGUAUGGGGAGCAAACAGG